UUCCCCUAGUAACUGCGAGUGAAGCGGGAAAAGCUCAAAUUUAAAAUCUGGCAGUCUUUGGCUGUCCGAGUUGUAAUCUAGAGAAGCGUUAUCCGCGUUGGACCGUGUACAAGUCUCCUGGAAUGGAGCGUCAUAGAGGGUGAGAAUCCCGUCUUUGACACGGACUGCCAGGGCUUUGUGAUGCGCUCUCAAAGAGUCGAGUUGUUUGGGAAUGCAGCUCAAAAUGGGUGGUAAAUUCCAUCUAAAGCUAAAUAUUGGCGAGAGACCGAUAGCGAACAAGUACCGUGAGGGAAAGAUGAAAAGAACUUUGGAAAGAGAGUUAAACAGUACGUGAAAUUGCUGAAAGGGAAACGCUUGAAGUCAGUCGCGUUGGCCAGGGAUCAACCUUGCUUUUGCUUGGUGUACUUUCUGGUUAACGGGUCAACAUCAAUUUUGACUAUUGGAAAAAGAUUAGGGGAAUGUGACAUCUUCGGAUGUGUUAUAGCCUUUAGUUGUAUACAAUAGUUGGGAUUGAGGAACUCAGCACGCCGCAAGGCCGGGUUUUUAACCACGUACGUGCUUAGGAUGUUGGCAUAAUGGCUUUAAUCGACCCGUCUUGAAACACGGACCAAGGAGUCUAACAUGCCUGCGAGUGUUUGGGUGGAAAACCCGAGCGCGUAAUGAAAGUGAAAGUUGAGAUCCUUGUCAUGGGGAGCAUCGACGCCCGGACCUGACCUUUUGUGAUGGCCCCGCGGUAGAGCAUGUAUGUUGGGACCCGAAAGAUGGUGAACUAUGCCUGAAUAGGGUGAAGCCAGAGGAAACUCUGGUGGAGGCUCGUAGCGAUUCUGACGUGCAAAUCGAUCGUCAAA
Molecule: ribosomal RNA, 848 nt
Filed under: Cortinarius sp. 8 TM02_197
Lineage: Eukaryota; Fungi; Basidiomycota; Agaricomycetes; Agaricales; Cortinariaceae
Description: eukaryotic LSU rRNA
Rfam family: Eukaryotic large subunit ribosomal RNA
Source: RNAcentral